AAGGUCUUAGCUUAAUUUACAGUGUCUGAGUUGCAAUUGGAUGAUGUAUGUUAAAGUCUUACAGGUCUU
This 69-nucleotide transfer RNA is filed under the name Paroedura sanctijohannis. Its description in RNAcentral is "tRNA-Ala". Lineage: Eukaryota; Metazoa; Chordata; Lepidosauria; Squamata; Gekkonidae. The record is from RNAcentral.